AUGGUAACACUACAAAUCACUGUCCAAAGGUUUCUCCUACCAAUCUUUUAAGACUCCUCACAGACUCAUGCAGAACAUUCCCUUGCCAGUAUAGAGAUCCAG
This is a long non-coding RNA of Sapajus apella (tufted capuchin), 102 nucleotides long. RefSeq lists it as uncharacterized. The record is from RefSeq and is a predicted model, not a curated record. The transcript is spliced from 3 exons. NCBI's taxonomy places the organism in Eukaryota, Metazoa, Chordata, Mammalia, Primates, Cebidae.